Molecule: ribosomal RNA, 253 nt
Filed under: uncultured bacterium
Lineage: Bacteria
Description: partial 16S ribosomal RNA
Rfam family: Bacterial small subunit ribosomal RNA
Source: RNAcentral
UACGUAGGAUGCAAGCGUUAUCCGGAUUUACUGGGUGUAAAGGGAGCGCAGGCGGGACUGCAAGUUGGAUGUGAAAUACCGUGGCUUAACCACGGAACUGCAUUCAAAACUGUAGUGCUUGAGUGAAGUAGAGGCAAGCGGAAUUCCGAGUGUAGCGGUGAAAUGCGUAGAUAUUCGGAGGAACACCAGUGGCGAAGGCGGCUUGCUGGGCUUUAACUGACGCUGAGGCUCGAAAGUGUGGGGAGCAAACAGG